Molecule: unclassified non-coding RNA, 465 nt
Filed under: Hevea brasiliensis (rubber tree)
Lineage: Eukaryota; Viridiplantae; Streptophyta; Magnoliopsida; Malpighiales; Euphorbiaceae
Source: RNAcentral
UACAAUUGUUGAGAAACCUCUCUUUUCUUCUCCUUUCAUAUAUUUCUUCAUUUCUAUCCAAUUUUAGCACUGAUGAGCAUUCUGGUUCUAUCCAACUAUCCAUCUUCACCAUUUACAAAUUGUGAAUUUCAACAUCACUCCAUGCACAUCUUGAGGAGUAUUGAAGAAUCUCAUAUUCAUAAGAAAAUUAUGUGAUUGAUUAACAGGAAUUGUUGGCUUGAUUAAUACUUGUAUAAAUGAGUAAUUUAUGGUUUAUUGAUAGGAUAUCAUAUAAAUCUUGUGUCUUACAUUAAAAAUAUGGAUUCUUAUGUAUUAUAUUAAACACACAAGUUAAUGAAAUGUAAGCCUUGAGAUUUUGUGUCUGUGGAGUAGGUUCUCGUUAGCCGAACCACUAAAUCCUUCUCUUGUUAAUUUCUCAUAUCUUGUUUAACAUUCUAAAUUUCAUAUCCUAUUUAGGAAUUUUUU